AUUUUAAAUACUGAAGGAAAACCACACUAGAAUGAUUUCAGGGGUUUUCUCUUGAUAGUGGGACUAUGGGUGUCUUUCUCAUUUCUUUUUUAAUGCAACCAGGUGCUCUACGAUGAACAUAUAUGAUUUUUAUAAUCAGACACACGCGCGCACACACACACACACACACACACACACGUGCGCGUGCAAAAUUUGCCGAAUUCUCACACUCUUUCAACUGCUCUUUCUCGGGGAAAUCACUCUCCACCUGCUUUGUUCAGUCAACCCACAACCGUCCCCAAAUCCUUUUCCUGAGCUCCACUAUCAGCCUGUAAGGACCAGCACUUUGCCAGGUGCUCCCUCCACACACUCAGGCAGCUCCUGAAGGCACACUCUUCUGGGAAGCCUUCCCUGAUCACCAGGAGGGAAGAAGGCUGGCUCGUCCCUACCCUGCCCAGCACAGCGCUUCCACAGCUCUCUUUGCUCACCUGGUCCACGAACAUCCCCAGCCUCUCUGCUGGGGCGUGACCUCAAGGGACUGUUUCCUGACGUGACCCAGCAGCUUUUGCCGCUGGCUGCGUGUGUGUAUGUGUGUGUUUGUGUUUGUGUGUCUGCACCUGGUGGCCAGGCCAAACACCUAGAAGGAAGUUGAGCUGUAGAGGCCACAGGUCUCAUUCCUGUUGUUGAGGAAGCUGGUAAUGACUCUUCUGUCUGCGUGUCCUGAUUUGCCAUGGCAAAGACUUCUCUUGGCCAUUUAAAAGCCACCCAAACAGUCUUUAAACAACUUAAGAAGUGAUCAAAGGUGUUUGUUCUUAGCCUGGACCAGCAACCUUCUUAAUGGAGUCAGCCUGACGCUCCGUAACUUUGGGAGGAAGUGUUGUGAACCAGUAACGCGGAAGUAGCUGGAAAGCACUUAGAUGUUUAGUGAGUUGAUCUGUCCAAGUACACAUCCAGCUUAUUCCUGAACUGGAAUCGAAUUAGAAAAACCUUUGGAGGAACAAGUUAGUGGGUCAGCAAACAUUUGAGGGCUCACCGAGUACCUGACACUUCUCAAAGCACUUGUGAAAUGCUGUGGCUUUAUCAAAGCAAUAAACAAAUCUGAGUGAUUGAUUGUUCCUGUAGAACUUCCUGGUCACGUAUUACACCCACACGAAGCAUAACAAGGAAGGCUCGGAGGGGAAGACACGCUGUCUUGAGGUGCCUGAGAAAGCGCAUGCGUCUUAGCUCCUGCGGCCUUUUGAGCUAAUUACCCUGGCCUGUGUGUAAUGAAACAGGAUGGCGUUAAGGAUCUAGAUAAAUUGGGCAUCCUGUCAUCGACCUUUGGUGUUUUUGAAACUGAGAAAAAAAGAUUUGGUGUGCCAGCCUUCCUCAUCAGUCUGGUAUCUCACCUGUCAUCUCAAACGAGGCAAACAAACCACGGACAUAUUUUUCUUCUGCGCAGAACUGCACCCUUUUUCGUGAGUAGGUCUGGAUCUGUUUGGCAAUCAGAAUUGAAGAGAAUGGGGGUGGGGGAAGCACUUCUUAGUUCCACCCUCUUCUAAAAUAUCUGAAGAAUAAUAAGUAGGAGAUCAUUAGGAAAAUAGCCAUUUCUUGUUGGUACACUAUCAACCAACAACCAGUUUGUUGAAGGAAUCCACUCAUGCAUUCACUCAACAAAUAUUUAUUGUGAGGAUAAAUGUGCAGCAGGCAGUGUUCUAGGUGCGGAGGAUACAGAAGUGAACAAAACCACCCAACACAGAGCAUGGAUGAAUCUCCAAGCAGUUCUGCUGGGAAAGGUCAAUCCUCAAAGCAACCACAGAAAGAAGAAGUGCAAACGAAAUGAAGGACCUCCCCUUCCCCCAGAGAGGAAGCCAGCCCGCAGUCCUGCAGGAGCCUGCCGGUGGAGCCCUUCUGCCCAGGGCCCAGGGCCCAGG
Long non-coding RNA from Lutra lutra (Eurasian river otter), 1892 nucleotides. RefSeq lists it as uncharacterized. The record is from RefSeq and is a predicted model, not a curated record. Lineage: Eukaryota; Metazoa; Chordata; Mammalia; Carnivora; Mustelidae. The transcript has 3 exons.